GGAAGGGUGGCCGAGUGGUUUAAGGCACCGGUCUUGAAAACCGGCGUGCCCGCAAGGGCACCGUGGGUUCGAAUCCCACCCCUUCCGCCC
Molecule: transfer RNA, 90 nt
Filed under: Bradyrhizobium sp. MOS001
Lineage: Bacteria; Pseudomonadati; Pseudomonadota; Alphaproteobacteria; Hyphomicrobiales; Nitrobacteraceae
Description: tRNA-Ser
Rfam family: tRNA
About the family: Transfer RNA (tRNA) molecules are approximately 80 nucleotides in length. Their secondary structure includes four short double-helical elements and three loops (D, anti-codon, and T loops). Further hydrogen bonds mediate the characteristic L-shaped molecular structure. tRNAs have two regions of fundamental functional importance: the anti-codon, which is responsible for specific mRNA codon recognition, and the 3' end, to which the tRNAs corresponding amino acid is attached (by aminoacyl-tRNA synthetases). tRNAs cope with the degeneracy of the genetic code in two manners: having more than one tRNA (with a specific anti-codon) for a particular amino acid; and 'wobble' base-pairing, i.e. permitting non-standard base-pairing at the 3rd anti-codon position.
Source: RNAcentral